UCUGGCUGUGCUGUACUUGGUGGCUGCACCUGUAGUCCUAGCUACUUGGGAGACUGAGGCAGGGAGGAUCGCUUGAGCCCAAGAGUUCUGGGCUGUAGUGUGCUCUGCCAGUCGGGUGUCUGCAUUAAGUUUGGCAUCAAUAUAGUGACCUCCUGGGAGUGGGGGGAUCACUAGAUUGCCUAAGGAGGUGUCAGCCAGCCCAGGUUGGAAACAGAGCAGGUCAAAACUCCUGUGGCAAUCAGUAGUAGCAUCAAACUUGUGAAUAGCCACUGCAUUCCAGGCUGGGCAACAUAAUGAGAUCCCAUCUCUU
RNAcentral lists this signal recognition particle RNA (310 nucleotides) under Microcebus murinus (gray mouse lemur). RNAcentral's name for it is "Metazoan signal recognition particle RNA (ENSMICG00000026722.2)". It matches the Rfam family "Metazoan signal recognition particle RNA". Rfam says of the family: The signal recognition particle (SRP) is a universally conserved ribonucleoprotein. It is involved in the co-translational targeting of proteins to membranes. Lineage: Eukaryota; Metazoa; Chordata; Mammalia; Primates; Cheirogaleidae. The record is from RNAcentral.